UGGUGUCAUAGAGGGGCACGGCGGCCUGGCACGCCCCCACCAACAGGGCGAUCUCGGUGCAACCCAGGAUCACCGCCUGGGCACCGGCC
Molecule: transfer RNA, 89 nt
Filed under: Aeromonas caviae
Lineage: Bacteria; Pseudomonadati; Pseudomonadota; Gammaproteobacteria; Aeromonadales; Aeromonadaceae
Description: tRNA-Ala(ggc)
Source: RNAcentral